This 30-nucleotide transfer RNA is filed under the name Phlegmariurus phlegmaria. RNAcentral's name for it is "partial tRNA-His". The record is from RNAcentral. Lineage: Eukaryota; Viridiplantae; Streptophyta; Lycopodiopsida; Lycopodiales; Lycopodiaceae.
GGCGGAUGUAGCCAAGUGGUUUAAGGCAGU